UACGAGGGGGGCAAGCGUUGUUCGGAAUUAUUGGGCGUAAAGGGCGCGUAGGCGGUUUGACAAGUCUGAUGUGAAAUCUCUGGGCUCAACCCAGAGUCUGCAUUAGAAACUGUCGGGCUUGAGUAUGGGAGAGGUGAGUGGAAUUUCCGGUGUAGCGGUGAAAUACGUAGAUAUCGGAAGGAACACCUGUGGCGAAGGCGGGUCUCUGGACAGUUCCUGACACUGAGACACGAAGGCCAGGGGAGCAAACGGG
Molecule: ribosomal RNA, 253 nt
Filed under: uncultured bacterium
Lineage: Bacteria
Description: partial 16S ribosomal RNA
Rfam family: Bacterial small subunit ribosomal RNA
Source: RNAcentral